GGGUGGUAAUGCCGGAUGCUCCAGUUGGACGCAUGUUCUUCCGGGAAAGAUUCAUCGGUAUGGGAUGGGGUCGCGUCCUAUCAGCUUGAUGGCGGGGUAACGGCCCACCAUGGCUUCGACGGGUAGCCGGCCUGAGAGGGCGACCGGCCACAUUGGGACUGAGAUACGGCCCAGACUCCUACGGGAGGCAGCAGUGGGGAAUAUUGCACAAUGGGCGCAAGCCUGAUGCAGCGACGCCGCGUGCGGGAUGACGGCCUUCGGGUUGUAAACCGCUUUUGACUGGGAGCAAGCCCUUCGGGGUGAGUGUACCUUUCGAAUAAGCACCGGCUAACUACGUGCCAGCAGCCGCGGUAAUACGUAGGGUGCAAGCGUUAUCCGGAAUUAUUGGGCGUAAAGGGCUCGUAGGCGGUUCGUCGCGUCCGGUGUGAAAGUCCAUCGCUUAACGGUGGAUCCGCGCCGGGUACGGGCGGGCUUGAGUGCGGUAGGGGAGACUGGAAUUCCCGGUGUAACGGUGGAAUGUGUAGAUAUCGGGAA
This 534-nucleotide ribosomal RNA is filed under the name Bifidobacterium adolescentis. RNAcentral's name for it is "bacterial SSU rRNA". It matches the Rfam family "Bacterial small subunit ribosomal RNA", at positions 158 to 703 of the family's 1533-position model. The record is from RNAcentral. Lineage: Bacteria; Bacillati; Actinomycetota; Actinomycetes; Bifidobacteriales; Bifidobacteriaceae.